RNAcentral lists this ribosomal RNA (166 nucleotides) under Datura kymatocarpa. RNAcentral describes it as "5.8S ribosomal RNA". It matches the Rfam family "5.8S ribosomal RNA". From Rfam's summary of the family: 5.8S ribosomal RNA (5.8S rRNA) is a component of the large subunit of the eukaryotic ribosome. It is transcribed by RNA polymerase I as part of the 45S precursor that also contains 18S and 28S rRNA. Functionally, it is thought that 5.8S rRNA may be involved in ribosome translocation. Lineage: Eukaryota; Viridiplantae; Streptophyta; Magnoliopsida; Solanales; Solanaceae. The record is from RNAcentral.
CAAAAACGACUCUCGGCAACGGAUAUCUCGGCUCUCGCAUCGAUGAAGAACGUAGCGAAAUGCGAUACUUGGUGUGAAUUGCAGAAUCCCGUGAACCAUCGAGUCUUUGAACGCAAGUUGCGCCCAAAGCCAUUAGGCUGAGGGCACGUCUGCCUGGGCGUCACGC